This 484-nucleotide ribosomal RNA is filed under the name uncultured bacterium. RNAcentral describes it as "bacterial SSU rRNA". It matches the Rfam family "Bacterial small subunit ribosomal RNA", at positions 41 to 518 of the family's 1533-position model. The record is from RNAcentral.
UACAGGCUUAACACAUGCAAGUCGAGGGGCAGCAUUGGAGUAGCAAUACUCAGAUGGCGACCGGCGCACGGUGAGUAACACGUAUCCAACCUGCCGCUUACUCGGGGAUAGCCUUUCGAAAGAAAGAUUAAUACCCGAUGGUAUAAAGAGUUCGCAUGUUCUCUUUAUUAAAGAAUUUCGGAAGCGAUGGGGAUGCGUUCCAUUAGAUAGUUGGCGGGGUAACGGCCCACCAAGUCUACGAUGGAUAGGGGUUCUGAGAGGAAGGUCCCCCACAUUGGAACUGAGACACGGUCCAAACUCCUACGGGAGGCAGCAGUGAGGAAUAUUGGUCAAUGGACGAGAGUCUGAACCAGCCAAAAGUAGCGUGAAGGAUGACUGCCCUAUGGGUUGUAAACUUCUUUUAUAAGGGAAUAAAGUGAGGGACGUGUCCCUUUUUGUAUGUACCUUAUGAAUAAGGAUCGGCUAACUCCGUGCCAGCCGCCGC